Molecule: ribosomal RNA, 440 nt
Filed under: uncultured bacterium
Lineage: Bacteria
Description: partial 16S ribosomal RNA
Rfam family: Bacterial small subunit ribosomal RNA
Source: RNAcentral
CCUACGGGAGGCAGCAGUGGGGAAUAUUGCACAAUGGGGGAAACCCUGAUGCAGCGACGCCGCGUGAGUGAAGAAGUAUUUCGGUUUGUAAAGCUCUAUCAGCAGGGAAGAAAAUGACGGUACCUGACUAAGAAGCCCCGGCUAACUACGUGCCAGCAGCCGCGGUAAUACGUAGGGGGCAAGCGUUAUCCGGAUUUACUGGGUGUAAAGGGAGCGUAGACGGCAGAGCAAGUCUGAAGUGAAAGCCCGCGGCACAACUGCGGGACUGCUUUGGAAACUGCCCGGCUAGAGUGCUGGAGAGGUAAGCGGAAUUCCUAGUGUAGCGGUGAAAUGCGUAGAUAUUAGGAGGAACACCAGUGGCGAAGGCGGCUUACUGGACAGUAACUGACGUUGAGGCUCGAAAGCGUGGGGAGCAAACAGGAUUAGAUACCCCGGUAGUC